Molecule: unclassified non-coding RNA, 331 nt
Filed under: soil metagenome
Description: partial contains 5.8S ribosomal RNA, internal transcribed spacer 2, and large subunit ribosomal RNA
Rfam family: 5.8S ribosomal RNA (bases 1-120)
Source: RNAcentral
GAUGAAGAACGCAGCGAAAUGCGAUAAGUAAUGUGAAUUGCAGAAUUCAGUGAAUCAUCGAAUCUUUGAACGCACAUUGCGCCCCCUGGUAUUCCGGGGGGCAUGCCUGUUCGAGCGUCAUUUCACCACUCAAGCCUCGCUUGGUAUUGGGCAACGCGGUCCGCCGCGUGCCUCAAAUCGACCGGCUGGGUCUUCUGUCCCCUAAGCGUUGUGGAAACUAUUCGCUAAAGGGUGUUCGGGAGGCUACGCCGUAAAACAACCCCAUUUCUCAGGUUGACCUCGGAUCAGGUAGGGAUACCCGCUGAACUUAAGCAUAUCAAUAAGCGGAGGA